RNAcentral lists this ribosomal RNA (250 nucleotides) under uncultured bacterium. RNAcentral describes it as "partial 16S ribosomal RNA". It matches the Rfam family "Bacterial small subunit ribosomal RNA", at positions 355 to 597 of the family's 1533-position model. The record is from RNAcentral.
UGGGGAAUAUUGGACAAUGGGCGCAAGCCUGAUCCAGCAAUGCCGCGUGGGUGAAGACGGCCUGCGGGUUGUAAAGCCCUUUAGGUGGGGAAGAACGGUGUCGGGUGAAUAGCCAGGCAUUAUGACAUUACCCACGGAAUAAGCACCGGCUAACUCCGUGCCAGCAGCCGCGGUAAUACGGAGGGUGCGAGCGUUAAUCGGAAUGACUGGGCGUAAAGCGUGCGUAGGUGGUAGCGUUAGUCGGCCGUGA